RNAcentral lists this ribosomal RNA (495 nucleotides) under uncultured bacterium. Its description in RNAcentral is "partial 16S ribosomal RNA". It matches the Rfam family "Bacterial small subunit ribosomal RNA", at positions 28 to 507 of the family's 1533-position model. The record is from RNAcentral.
GACGAACGCUGGCGGCGUGCCUAAUACAUGCAAGUAGAACGCUGAAGGAGGAGCUUGCUUCUCUGGAUGAGUUGCGAACGGGUGAGUAACGCGUAGGUAACCUGCCUGGUAGCGGGGGAUAACUAUUGGAAACGAUAGCUAAUACCGCAUAACAGUAGAUAUCGCAUGAUAUCUACUUGAAAGGUGCAAUUGCAUCACUACCAGAUGGACCUGCGUUGUAUUAGCUAGUUGGUGAGGUAACGGCUCACCAAGGCGACGAUACAUAGCCGACCUGAGAGGGUGAUCGGCCACACUGGGACUGAGACACGGCCCAGACUCCUACGGGAGGCAGCAGUAGGGAAUCUUCGGCAAUGGACGGAAGUCUGACCGAGCAACGCCGCGUGAGUGAAGAAGGUUUUCGGAUCGUAAAGCUCUGUUGUAAGAGAAGAACGAGUGUGAGAGUGGAAAGUUCACACUGUGACGGUAUCUUACCAGAAAGGGACGGCUAACUACGUA